GGUUGUGAGAGUGAUCUGGCUGUCACCUCACUGAUCACCGGGGUUGGUUCUACUGAUCUGGCUAGGUGGACGUCGCUCCUUCCUCCCUACUCCACAAGCCUCCCUCCUGAAGCUGCACACUUGGUUGAAGAGAAUCAUCUUUCCCAAUGGAGGAGGGAGACUGUUCUUUGGCUAGGGGCAUAUAAGUAUCUGCACUCUUCUGAUACAACCUCCAAAAAAACUCAGAAGAUUUUUUUGUAGGAGAAUGUAGGGUAGUCAAGCUUCCAAGACUCCAGACACAUCCCAAUGAGCUGCUGCAUGUAACAGUCUGCCUUUCUUU
This 319-nucleotide small nuclear RNA is filed under the name Carlito syrichta (Philippine tarsier). RNAcentral describes it as "7SK RNA (ENSTSYG00000033038.1)". It matches the Rfam family "7SK RNA". From Rfam's summary of the family: 7SK was discovered as an abundant small nuclear RNA in the mid-70s but a possible function has only recently been suggested. Lineage: Eukaryota; Metazoa; Chordata; Mammalia; Primates; Tarsiidae. The record is from Rfam by way of RNAcentral.